AUCCUGGCUCAGGACGAACGCUGGCGGCGUGCCUAAUACAUGCAAGUCGAGCGGACAGAUGGGAGCUUGCUCCCUGAAGUCAGCGGCGGACGGGUGAGUAACACGUGGGCAACCUGCCUGUAAGACUGGGAUAACUCCGGGAAACCGGGGCUAAUACCGGAUAAUUCUUUCCCUCACAUGAGGGAAAGCUGAAAGAUGGUUUCGGCUAUCACUUACAGAUGGGCCCGCGGCGCAUUAGCUAGUUGGUGAGGUAACGGCUCACCAAGGCAACGAUGCGUAGCCGACCUGAGAGGGUGAUCGGCCACACUGGGACUGAGACACGGCCCAGACUCCUACGGGAGGCAGCAGUAGGGAAUCUUCCGCAAUGGACGAAAGUCUGACGGAGCAACGCCGCGUGAGUGAUGAAGGUUUUCGGAUCGUAAAACUCUGUUGUUAGGGAAGAACAAGUACCGGAGUAACUGCCGGUACCUUGACGGUACCUAACCAGAA
Molecule: ribosomal RNA, 489 nt
Filed under: Cytobacillus firmus
Lineage: Bacteria; Bacillati; Bacillota; Bacilli; Caryophanales; Bacillaceae
Description: bacterial SSU rRNA
Rfam family: Bacterial small subunit ribosomal RNA
Source: RNAcentral